UGGGGAAUUUUGGACAAUGGGCGCAAGCCUGAUCCAGCAAUGCCGCGUGCAGGAAGAAGGCCUUCGGGUUGUAAACUGCUUUUGUCAGGGAAGAAAUCCUCUGGGUUAAUACCUCGGGGGGAUGACGGUACCUGAAGAAUAAGCACCGGCUAACUACGUGCCAGCAGCCGCGGUAAUACGUAGGGUGCGAGCGUUAAUCGGAACUACUGGGCGUAAAGCGUGCGCAGGCGGUUGUGCAAGACAGGUGCGAAAUCCCCGGGNUUAACCUGGGAACUGCACUUGUGACUGCACGGCUAGAGUACGGUAGAGGGGGAUGGAAUUCCGCGUGUAGCAGUGAAAUGCGUAGAUAUGCGGAGGAACACCGUGGCGAAGGCAAUCCCCUGGACUGUACUGACGCUCAUGCACGAAAGCGUGGGGAGCAAACAGGAUUAGAUACCCUGGUAGUCCACGCCCUAAAACGAUGUCAACUGGUUGUUGGACGGCUUGCUGUU
This 491-nucleotide ribosomal RNA is filed under the name uncultured bacterium. Its description in RNAcentral is "partial 16S ribosomal RNA". It matches the Rfam family "Bacterial small subunit ribosomal RNA", at positions 355 to 840 of the family's 1533-position model. The record is from RNAcentral.